Molecule: ribosomal RNA, 678 nt
Filed under: uncultured crenarchaeote
Lineage: Archaea; Thermoproteati; Thermoproteota
Description: bacterial SSU rRNA
Rfam family: Archaeal small subunit ribosomal RNA
Source: RNAcentral
ACUGCUAUCGGGUUGAGACUAAGCCAUGCAAGUCGAGCGUUUUAAGCUAUGUUGAAAGCGCGGCAUAAGGCUCCGUAACACGUAGUUAACCUACCCUCAGGAUGGAGAUAACCCCUGGGAAACUGGGACUAAUAUCCAAUAAAUGAUUAUGCCUGGAAUGGUUUAUCAUUGAAAGAGCUGAAUACAUGCUUUCAGUAUCACCUGAGGAUGGGACUGCGUCCGAUCAGGUUGUUGGCGGGGUAACGGCCCACCAAGCCUAUAACCGGUACGGGCCCUGAGAGGGGGAGCCCGGAGAUGGAAACUGAGACAAGGUUCCAGGCCCUACGGGGCGCAGCAGGCGCGAAACCUCCACAAUGCGCGAAAGCGUGAUGGGGUUAGCCCGAGUGCUGUCCGAAAAGGAUGGCUUUUCCUUGGCGUAAAAACCCGAGGGAAUAAAGGGGGGGCAAGACUGGUGUCAGCCGCCGCGGUAAUACCAGCCCCCUGAGUGGUAAGGACGAUUAUUUGGCUUAAAGCGUCCGUAGCCGGCUUAGUGAGUCUCUUGUUAAAUCCAAUGAUUCAAUCAUUGAACUGCAAGAGAUACUACUAUGCUAGAGGACGGGAGAGGUCGACGGUAGUCCAAGGGUAGGGGUGAAAUCCUAUAAUCCUUGGAGGACCACCAGUGGCGAAGGCGGUCGACUA